Molecule: long non-coding RNA, 475 nt
Organism: Suncus etruscus (white-toothed pygmy shrew)
Lineage: Eukaryota; Metazoa; Chordata; Mammalia; Eulipotyphla; Soricidae
Exons: 3
Source: RefSeq, a predicted model, not a curated record
CCCGACGUCGGCCGUGGCGUCCCCGCGGCUACGCACCUGGAGGCGGCCGCCCGCGCGCGGGGCCCUUCGGGGAGCCGCCUCGAUGAGCGCGGCGCAGCCCGGCGUGACCUUCGAGGACGUGUUCGUGGCCUUCUCGCGCAAGGAGUGGGAGCUGCUGGAGGAGGCGCAGCGGCACCUGUACCGGGACGUGAUGAUGGAGAACUUCGCCCUCAUCUCCUCGCUGGGACUGGCAGUUUCCCAAUCGCAAAGAAUCGGCCGGAUGUAUCCUGAGGGGAACGAAUCGCACCAGAGAAGGUAGAGGCAGCUGAGCCCCGGGGAAGCCUGGCUCUGGUGAGUGCUUUUUGCUGAGGGGUUGUCCUGUCAGGGCUGUCUAGAACCAGCAGGCUUCGGGUGCGCUCUGAUCCCUUUUAUGAGGGCAAUGAGGACACCUGAGUGAUCAGGGAGCCUUGGCUCCCCUAGGAGUCGGGCCCAGUGC